ACCCUGAUCAGCCAUGCCGCGUGUGUGAAGAAGGCCCUCGGGUUGUAAAGCACUUUCAGCGAGGAAGAACGCCUAGCGGUUAAUACCCGCUAGGAAAGACAUCACUCGCAGAAGAAGCACCGGCUAACUCCGUGCCAGCAGCCGCGGUAAUACGGAGGGUGCAAGCGUUAAUCGGAAUUACUGGGCGUAAAGCGCGCGUAGGUGGCUUGAUAAGCCGGUUGUGAAAGCCCCGGGCUCAACCUGGGAACGGCAUCCGGAACUGUCAAGCUAGAGUGCAGGAGAGGAAGGUAGAAUUCCCGGUGUAGCGGUGAAAUGCGUAGAGAUCGGGAGGAAUACCAGUGGCGAAGGCGGCCUUCUGGACUGACACUGACACUGAGGUGCGAAAGCGUGGGUAGCAAACAGGAUUAGAUACCCUGGUAGUCCACGCCGUAAACGAUGUCGACCAGCCGUUGGGUGCCUAGCGCACUUUGUGGCGAAGUUAACGCGAUAAGUCGACCGCCUGGGGAGUACGGCCGCAAGGUUAAAACUCAA
Molecule: ribosomal RNA, 531 nt
Filed under: Halomonas sp.
Lineage: Bacteria; Pseudomonadati; Pseudomonadota; Gammaproteobacteria; Oceanospirillales; Halomonadaceae
Description: bacterial SSU rRNA
Rfam family: Bacterial small subunit ribosomal RNA
Source: RNAcentral